RNAcentral lists this long non-coding RNA (525 nucleotides) under Vigna radiata. Its description in RNAcentral is "long non-coding RNA (VRAD_LNC014302)". The record is from RNAcentral. Lineage: Eukaryota; Viridiplantae; Streptophyta; Magnoliopsida; Fabales; Fabaceae.
CGGUGAGGUAUGAACUGAUUUAGGAAAUAGAUAGAAUGACAAGCGAAAGGAAAAAGUGGGAAUUCUAGUGAAGGCGUAUUGGGAUAGUGAAAACCGUGAUGACUAUGUUCAAAGAAACUUAAGGUAAACGAUGAUGAUAAUGGCUGACCGGGAGGCUAAUUUAUAUAAUGCUAUUCUCAAACAGCCAUAAUGAAUGCAAGAUGUAACAACAAUACAUGAAACAUUAAACAAAGAGCAACAAGCUAUUCACCAAAGAAAUGCUUACCUUCCUGGUUGUCAUGAAAAGAGCUGUCUUAGAGGACCUUAAGACAAUAGCCAUUGCUAUAGCUAAGAAUAUAUUGUUCCAGAAGAUCGUCGUCUCUACUUUUCCUCCCUUAUGCUCUAGUUGUCCCCAAAAUUCCCCCUCUUUUCCAAAACUUUUUUCAAUCCUCCUCUUUUGCUCCCAAAAUCCUUAACCAUUUUUCUCUGUCCUCCAGUUGCAGAAUCCCAAAAAUAUUCUUUCUAAACCAACUUGUCCCCCACGCU